RNAcentral lists this long non-coding RNA (1252 nucleotides) under Capra hircus (goat). RNAcentral describes it as "lncRNA (ENSCHIG00010006802.1)". Lineage: Eukaryota; Metazoa; Chordata; Mammalia; Artiodactyla; Bovidae. The record is from RNAcentral.
AUGGCCUCGUUCCCGUAUUGUGAGUACCACAUGCUUCGGCUCCUGCUCAGGUACGUCCCGGGCAGCGCGGAUGCCAGCUUCUGCUGCUGCUGUUGCCAGACAGAGCUUUCUCUGCCAGCGGGACGCGGCCACUCAUCACUGGCCAGAACCUCCCCGCGCCUGGGCUCCCGCACAGCUGCCAGCUGCUCUGCACUAAACGCCACUAGUGAAGAAGGCUUGCGGCAGCUCGGCGUGAGGAUUCCUUCUUUAGCUUAAUGGUCACGAGGAACUCAGGCCAUUUGCAGGCAACACCCUAUAUGAGGGCUCUCUGCGAGGAAACUGCAGAGGAGUCUCCAAGCAUUCCGAAGACAGCCAAGAGCCACACGUGAGUCGGCAGGCAGGUCAGCGGAGCCCCAGCCGCAGCGUGCCCCGGUGACGGUUCGUGCUCUGUGUCAGGUGUGCCGAUGACAGGGACGAGGCCCUCACCUCGGGCGGGACUUGUCAAGUGUCCACUGCGAGUCUGACACGACCCAGACCGCUGCAUCUGAAGAUACACAUCCGCUGUCCUGCAUGAAAAGACAUUGUACACUAGGCAGAAACCGACAGCAGCUUCUGUAAGCACUGCCCUCCUGAUCUGCGCCUGGGUGAGCCUUCAGCAGUGCAGAGGCGGUCGGAUCCCUGCCAGGGGUGUGGAGCCCGCUUUUUGUGCAGAGCUUUCUCCUGGCUAGCCUUCGGCUCCUCCGCAACGUGAUGCUACAAAGAAACGAGCCUGCUGUCAGGUGUCGGGAGAGGGAAGGACCUCGGCGGUCCUGGCAGGGCUUAAGGCACGGGAUCCUUCUUAACUCUUGGGAUCAGAGCCCUUAAACCAAGCCACCCAGCCCCAUGCUCCCACUAUUUCGGUUGCUUCGCGGUGACGCAAUGAGCUUGGGUUUAAGAGGCAGAAGGAUGCCUCAUCCUAGUUCUUCUGUGAACUAUGGGGGUGGUACUGGGGAAACCCCUUGCUGGAGAGCUGAGAAAUAAGUUCUAGGAAUCUGUCGGGGCGCAGAAAGGACCUGCUCACGCUGGUACCCACCCAGCGCCCCCUUUCUCCUCCGAGCAGCCGGGAGGGCCCUGAACCCGAAGGAAGAAUGACGUCGGGGAGAGCCGGACAGGGCGCACCCACAGCGGCCCCAGCCCCGGCUCUCCCGGCCACACGACUUCUCCCUUCCGUGCGGCCCGCGCGCCCGUCGCCCAGCCGCGUCCUCGAAACCCGCCGAGCCCCCGCGGCCCGCCC